AAUGAACGCUGGCGGCGUGCUUAACACAUGCAAGUCGCACGAGAACGCUUCAGCUUGCUGAAGCUAGUAAAGUGGCGUACGGGUGAGUAACGCGUGGGUAAUCUAUCUCUGAAUUGGGGAUAACAUUGCGAAAGCGAUGCUAAUACCGGAUAAAAUCCAUUAAACCUCGGUUUUUUUGGAUCAAAGGUGGCCUCUACAUGUAAGCUACUGUUCGGAGACGAGCCCGCGUACCAUUAGCUUGUUGGUAGGGUAAUGGCCUACCAAGGCAACGAUGGUUAGCUGGUCUGAGAGGAUGAUCAGCCUCACUGGAACUGACACACGGUCCAGACUCCUACGGGAGGCAGCAGUGAGGAAUUUUGCGCAAUGGGGGAAACCCUGACGCAGCAACGCCGCGUGAGUGAUGAAGGCUUUCGGGUCGUAAAGCUCUGUCAAGUGGGAAGAACUUGCUCGAUAUUAACACCAUCUAGCAUUGACGGUACCACUAAAGGAAGCACCGGCUAACUCCGUGCCAGCAGCCGCGGUAAUACGGGGGGUGCAAGCGUUAUUCGGAAUUAUUGGGCGUAAAGGGCGCGUAGGCGGUCUCUAAAGUCAGAUGUGAAAGCCCAGGGCUUAACUCCGGAAGUGCAUUGAAACUUAGGG
Molecule: ribosomal RNA, 639 nt
Filed under: uncultured bacterium
Lineage: Bacteria
Description: bacterial SSU rRNA
Rfam family: Bacterial small subunit ribosomal RNA
Source: RNAcentral